This 959-nucleotide ribosomal RNA is filed under the name Geastrum pectinatum. RNAcentral's name for it is "eukaryotic LSU rRNA". It matches the Rfam family "Eukaryotic large subunit ribosomal RNA", at positions 1 to 940 of the family's 3401-position model. The record is from RNAcentral. Lineage: Eukaryota; Fungi; Basidiomycota; Agaricomycetes; Geastrales; Geastraceae.
UUUGGCCUCAAAUCAGGUAGGACUACCCGCUGAACUUAAGCAUAUCAAUAAGCGGAGGAAAAGAAACUAACAAGGAUUCCCCUAGUAACUGCGAGUGAAGAGGGAAAAGCUCAAAUUUGAAAUCUGGCAGUCUACGGCUGUCCGAGUUGUAAUCUAGAGAAGUGUUUUCCGUGCUGGACCGUGUACAAGUCCUUUGGAACAAGGCGUCAUAGAGGGUGAGAAUCCCGUCUACGACACGGACUCCCAGUGCUCUGUGAUACACUCUCAACGAGUCGAGUUGUUUGGGAAUGCAGCUCAAAAUGGGUGGUAAAUUCCAUCUAAAGCUAAAUAUAGGCGAAAGACCGAUAGCGAACAAGUACCGUGAGGGAAAGAUGAAAAGCACUUUGGAAAGAGAGUUAAACAGUACGUGAAAUUGUUGAAAGGGAAACGCUUGAAGUCAGUCGCGUCUUCAGAAACUCAGCCUGGCUUCUGCCUGGUGUACUUUUCUGUUGGACGGGCCAGCAUCAGUUUUGGCCGCCAGAAAAAGGUGGGAGGAAGGUGGCACCCUCGGGUGUGUUAUAGCCUCUCAUCGUAUGUGGUGGCUGGGACUGAGGACCGCAGCACGCCUCUAAUGGCCGGGGUUCGCCCACGUAACGUGCUUAGGAUGCUGGCGUAAUGGCUUUAAACGACCCGUCUUGAAACACGGACCAAGGAGUCUAACAUGCCUGCGAGUAUUUGGGUGGUAAACCCAUAUGCGGAAUGAAAGUGAACAGUUGGGACUUCUGUCAUGGAAGGCACCGACGCCCGGACCAGACCUAUUGUGACGGAUCCGAGGUAGAGCAUGUAUGUUGGGACCCGAAAGAUGGUGAACUAUGCCUGAGUAGGGUGAAGCCAGAGGAAACUCUGGUGGAGGCUCGUAGCGAUUCUGACGUGCAAAUCGAUCGUCGMACUUGGGUAUAGKGGCGAAAGWCUAAUCGAAC